Non-coding RNA from Xiphophorus couchianus (Monterrey platyfish), 1050 nucleotides. The record is from the annotation of a RefSeq genome assembly. Lineage: Eukaryota; Metazoa; Chordata; Actinopteri; Cyprinodontiformes; Poeciliidae.
CAUGUGAAGGUUUCCUCAGAUUAGAAAGAACAGCAGCGUGUACGUUAAACAGUCACUUCAACUGGACUGAUAAUUCAGAAAACUCAACGAUAUGAUCGUCAUCUUCUGCUUAAUGUUCAACAUGAUUCACGUUUUAGGCUCUUCCCUCAGCGAUCGGGUCCAUCAGACUCCGGCUGAUUUGUUCCACGAGUCCGGAGGAAACGCCGUCAUCAGCUGCACACACAGCAUCGACAACUACGAUGUAAUCCUCUGGUACAAACACUCGACGAGCAGCCAGAUGCAGCUCCUGGGAUACAACGAUGUCGUAAACGGAUACCCAGAGCAGGGGUUAAAGGUGAAAAUCAGUGGCAGCGCAAGCAAAGACAAGAUCAGCACUCUGACGGUGGAGGAUCUGAGCGAGAGCAGCAGCGCCGUUUAUUUCUGCGCCGCUAAAUACCACAGUGCUUCAUGUUAAUGUUCCCCAGCACAAAAACCUCGAGUUUAAUCUUUUUGAUGUCGUAUCUAUUUUGCAGCCGUGUUGCUUCCUUUCAUGAGGCGGCGGUGUGUCGUCACAGACUGCCUCAGCGCUGAGAAGAAACUGAAGCUCCUCCUCCUUCAUGAUGAUUUGAUAAAAGGAACAUUGAUAAAACACAAAUAAUCAGUCCACUCAGAUACACUGACAGCAUCUUUCAGCCUAUGUAACAGAUGCAGGCUGUUCUUAGUUUGAGCAUUUAUUUGAUUCUGUUUCCAGGCAACGCUACAAUCAGUCCAGGUUCUUCUGGCCAGCAGGUCCAUCAGACUCCAGCUGAGAUCAGCUGUCUGAAAUUAUUUGACGUUCUAUCAGACGUAUUAUCUAUUGAUAUUACUGUCCAUCGAGUAAUAUAUUAAUUUUUUGGCCAGUCUGUUAUCAUCUGUACAUAAACUGUAACAGUGCGUUUAUACAAAUACUGUUAAAAAGUACAUGUGAGCAAGAUCAGUGUGUCUGUACGUUCCAAUUAGAUUUUCCAGUCUAGAACCACAAAUCCUCACACACUCUGUCUAACAGGCCAAUUUAACUCCAUUCACAAAAAA